CAAGUGAGGUUAAGACAGUGACCAACUCUCAGCCCACCAAAUUGGGUUGCUAAGAGGAAUGCCGGGAGGAGCUGUCAUGAGGCAAACCUAACAAGGCACAAGGCACAUACACUCAUAGGACCUAAGGGUGUUUAUACUAUGUCAAGGUUGUGGAUGAAGAAUAUGUUUGAGUUGCUGCGAGGGUUGGAACAGGGAACCAAAAUGGCGGACGUGUGAGGUGGCUGCUACGACUUGACAGUCCAGGAAAUAACCUCCUGAGCCGUCGGAAGCUACAAUGACCAACAACACUGCUGAUGUAUAUGAUGCCACUGAUGAAACACUGCUGACCUGAGGGACAGACUCAUAUAUGAUGCCACUGAUGAAGCACUGCUGACAUGUUGGAGGUGAGACUUACUUACUGUUAGUUCACAUCAUGUUGUUCUUAUUAGGUGUACAGCUGAGUCUACUGCAGGUUGGGUUUCUCUUAUCUGAAAUUACCAAAUCCGAAAUGCUCUGAAAUCUGAGUCUUAUUUCAUUAUUUUUAUGAUAGAUAAUUCUGUACACUAAAUAUGGUAUACAGUACAUGUAUAUACUCGUGCAUAGUUUGAGUUUUUAAGAUCAAAUUUUUACGUAAUAGUUUCGUCAGGUUGAGUCCGUGCAUGAUGGGAAGGGCGAGGAGCAACUUUUAGCCUUAGACGUGAAAAGUAUUUACCAUUUACUGCCAGUAAACAAUGGAAAUGUAAAAUAUGUACCAAUUAGUAAUGAACAGCUGUGCAGUGCCUUCAGCAGAUGAAGCUCACCAACUUACAAUAUAUAUCCAUAUGCUAUAAAUGAAAUAUAAAUGAAUUUUGUGCAUAGACUUGGGCCCCAUCCCUGUUGGGUGAGCUACCCCCAUUAUACAGGUUCUGUAUACAGGUGUUUCAAAAAAUAUCCCAAAUCCGAGACCCCUAAAGCCCCAAGCAUUUAGGAUAAAGGAUACCCAACCUGUACUUGUGUUUACAUGCAGUUGUGUACAGUACUGUACUACAGUAUUUAAAACAUCAAAUACACUCUACCCAUUAGUUUUAAUUCACAUUUAAAUACAGUACAUUAUUUCAAGAAUAUGGAGCAGCUUUAUUAUUUAAGUGUAUUACCCUUAUCUUGUGUUUGGGCACAUGAGGUCAUGAUGUAGAUUUGGUUCAAAUUAAUCAGAGGCACUGUACUGUACUGUACUGUACUGUACUGUACUGUACUGUACUGUACUGUACUGUACUGUACUGUACUGUUUUAAAUACUGAUUAUGGAUCUGGAUUUGGAAUGCAAAAAUAUCACAAAUUAGCAUUAAUUAUGACCCUUGAAUUAAUUAAACAAAUUUACAGUAGUGUAUUUAUCUAAAAGUGGACAUUUAUGUAAAUGUGUUUGUGUGCAUUUAUAUUUAUUUAAGAAAGUUUGUUUGUAUGGUACAUGUAUUUGUUUAAAUGUGUGUGUGUGUGUUUUGUAUAAAUGUUUGACUGUUUUAGUGUAAAGGUGUUUGUGUUGUCAUGUAAAACCAUACAAGCAGUUGUGUAACACAAGGUGUGACACAACAAAUCUGAAGAUUAGUUAUUGCUGAAACUUGUCUCAAAAUUACUAAAUUUGGAUGAUAAAUAAAUAAUUACUUUAUUUGCCUUAAUGGCCACCCACUAGAGGUGGUCAGGGUGAGGAAAGGAGGCCAGUGGUCUAUGUAGGAUCCUUCCAUUGUUCUUGAUAGUCUUGUCUUGGGCUAUUUUUUUUGUAUGAUAAGUUGCCAAGCGUAGUCAUGUCCCAUUAUUUUGGUGGUGCGUGACAUGGCCCAGGUUCAUGUUUUCCAUCUUUUCAAGAGUUUGAAUGUCUAUGAGUUGUGCCUUGUUGUGUCUUGUCAGAAGGGUUGUUAACCCCAAGGCCCUCAAUUUAUUUGGAAAAUCAAGAUGACAUAAAUCAAGAAUCAUCUUAGUCACUGUGUUGAACCUUUCUAAGGAUGUUAGGGUUUUCUGGAGGGAGGGUUUCCAUGCCUGUACAGUGUACAGUAAUCCAGACUGGGACGUAUGUGAUAUUUGUACAAUUGAAGGAUCAUUGUCAUAUCUUUGUGUUUGAAGGUAUGCUUUAUAAUUCCCAAUUCUUGGUUGGCUUUUGUCCUGUUGCCCCCACUUAGAGCACUGCUUUCAGUGAUUGAUCUUUCACAAUACCAAGAUCUUUCACUUUAUUGAAAGUAUCCAGGAAAGUGUUAUUAACAGAAUAGUGGGGAUUUGGGUUGUUGUAUCCUACACAGAGUCUUACAUUUUGCAUUGUUAAAAAUCUUUACCAGACUCAAGACCAAUUGAGCAGCUUUUGAAGAUCUUUUUGCAUGGCUGCAAAUCGUCAUGACUGUCACCUUCCCAAAUAUUUCUGUCAUCUGCAAACUUGACAGUAUGGCUCUAUAUAUUUUCAUCUAUAUCAUUUAUGUACAGUAAAACCUCUCUAAGGCAGACUAAUUGAGGAAGGGAUAAGAGGUUGUCCUCCUUAAGAGUCAAUUUUUCCCAAAAGACGCCAUUUUAAACAAAAAACAGUACGACACCAACGUCUCCAAUUUUCAUGAAGGAAAUACUGUACAUACAUGUUUUCUAAUCAAAAUUAAUUUUAAAAAGUAAUGUACACAAAGUACUGUACACUUACUUUUAGUUCACUGAUACGGCCAUCGGCUUAACCUCACCGCCCUUAUGGGUACUAAACACUUUCUUAGAGGCUGUGUUUAUUGUUUCAUUUUUCAAUAAUACAGUAAUGCAAAAAAUAUGACCGGUGCUUCAGUCUACGGUGAUUAUGUAUAAAAACUUUAAUGAUAUAAAAAAUACAGUACUGUAUUUUCGGAAAUAAAUUUUGUAUAUUCGUCCUGUAACCAUAGUUUUCUUAUAUAUACUGUACCAGGAAAUGUGGGGAAUAAUACCAACAAAACUUACUGUAUUGUAUUGUCAAAAAAAGUAAAUAAAAACCAAAUGAAUGUUUAAAACACAGCCUCCAUUUGCAUACACUCCCUGUUUCACCAUAGUAACGAAGAUGAGCUGGGACGCUGAUUCCCUAGCAACGCGUCCCCCAACACACACAUACACACUGAGUAUUUUCCCCUCACUCAGCUAACUCGUAUAGAAAGAACUGUCAAUUCCAUUUAUGUGUUUGCCCUUAGGACAAUUAUUUCUUUUACUUUUUUCACAUUAUGUAUGUAGGAUGGUGUGUGCGUGUAGUAGAGUAAAAAUAAAUGAGGAAAGUUACUUAUAUCUACCCAAAAAUACAAGUUGAAAAACAACCAUGUAACACCUCACAGCUUGGCCCAGUAGCCUGGUGGUUACAGUGAUGAGUCUAACCUGGCUACAAUGCCAUGUUACAGACGACACUAACUAGUCACUCGCUCGCUCCCUGGCUCCCGUUGCCAGGCUUAUUAUUGAAAUACAGUACGUAUAGGAGAAAUACAUACAGUAUCUUGUAGUAUAAUUUGAAAACAGUGAU
This 3453-nucleotide long non-coding RNA is filed under the name Homarus americanus (American lobster). RNAcentral describes it as "uncharacterized LOC121855035, transcript variant X2". Lineage: Eukaryota; Metazoa; Arthropoda; Malacostraca; Decapoda; Nephropidae. The record is from RNAcentral.